Long non-coding RNA from Rhincodon typus (whale shark), 1083 nucleotides. RefSeq lists it as uncharacterized. The record is from RefSeq and is a predicted model, not a curated record. The transcript is spliced from 2 exons. Lineage: Eukaryota; Metazoa; Chordata; Chondrichthyes; Orectolobiformes; Rhincodontidae.
UGUUAGCUGUCUGUUUAAAACACAGCCUGUCCUGAAAUUAACUCCUUAAAUUCUUCUGCAGGGAAAUCAUUUGCCAUUGUGGUGUCAAUCAGCCAGUUAUCGAGCAGUUGUUAAAACAAUUUUGUUUAUGGAGCUUCGACUCCUUCUUUUCCCAGGCAUAGAUAAUUGCUUUCAGUUCCUCCGUAAGAGUUUGUCCUUGUCCCUUAACAGCUUAUUUCAGGCAGAUUUAUUGCUGAUUCUCUCAAUCCAUGGAAAUUUCUGAAGUUUGCAGCAUGUUUACAAUGACUAGUUAACUGCUGUCUGAUUUGACCCUAGUAAGCUGCUCAGUUAAGGGGCAAUUAGGGAUAAGCAACAAAUGCUGUCCUUGCCCAAGGUGGCCACAUCUCAUGAAAACAUGAAGAUUAAAUAAAAACCUCCAGUGAAAUGAAUUGAUUCACCGUAGCCUGAAGCACUCCAUUUUAUGUUGCAGGUUUGUUGCAGUAUUUCCCGUGCUUUCUCGAUCAUGUCCCUAUCAGAAGAUGGAAGCAGUUUAUGCGAAAACUUCAACUAACUGAAAAUGAGAUUGUCGAGGCUGAACGCAACAAUGUAAAUGACAUUAGGGAAGGACACUAUCAGAUGCUUCGUACUUGGUUUCAGAAAGAGGGUAACAAAGCCACGAUUACGUUUCUGCUGCAGACUCUAUAUGACAUGGAACUGGUGAAAGCAGCGAAUGACGUAAACCAAUCUAUACUUGAUGAUGGAACCAAAGAGCACUGAAUUUUGGGAAUGAUUUUGCAGAAAUUUUUGAUCAGAAGUGCAAGCGGUUGGACGAGGUCUGCUGGGGCUAGCGCGGACUGACACUGCACAGCACUUUUGGCUUGGAAUAUUGAAAAGGACUCUGGGUUCAGUGACUACAGACUAUACUGACAGCAGGACAUUCCUAAUUCCUGUGUCACUACCUCGACCCUUGAUGUUUUUUGAAUUCAGUAUUGGUUACCAAGGAAGUUUAAAGCACUUGCCUAGAGUAACUAAACUGGCAUUUGUUAAAAGAUAGGGAUAUUUGUAUUUUUUAAGACUUUUUAAUAAAGAUAUUUUUAAAGACUA